This 875-nucleotide long non-coding RNA is filed under the name Piliocolobus tephrosceles (Ugandan red Colobus). RNAcentral's name for it is "lncRNA (ENSPTEG00000034723.1)". Lineage: Eukaryota; Metazoa; Chordata; Mammalia; Primates; Cercopithecidae. The record is from RNAcentral.
AAACACUGAGUGGUUUAUAUUUUUGGCCGGGUUGUGCUUCUGAGUUAAUAUGCAUUGUGAGUGCCAGUUAAGCAAAGUUUUCCCAAGAAUUUACCAUUGUUUGUGGUUUAGAGGUCGCUCAUAAUGGCUUAAAGAGUCUACCUGGAGUUUUUAUCUUGCAUUUUUUGCUUUUCCUACAGAAUACUACUAUUUUUUCUUAAUUAAUUAAAUAUCUUUCUUUAGGAACGUACAGAGUGUACCAUGAACAAUUCUGACUUAUGAUUUAAUCUAUGUGUGACUACAUUUUAAAUAAAUUGGGGAAGGAUUGAACAAUGAAGUGGAGCCCAUCAAUAUUGGUACUGAAAAUGAGACAGAUCCCUGAAAAUGGAAAGGAAUUCCCUAGAUAUCCCAGUUUAUUCCCACACCCUAACACUGCAGAGGAGUCCCCGAAAUACGAAACAUUUCAGCCUCUCCUCAUUUCUUUCAAGGGUGGAUUGAAAGAUACCAGCUUCAGCAGGUCCUUGUAUUGAAGACAGCAUAACCCCCAAGAGGAAAGGAGCUUGGAGCCCUGAAUCAGAGUAGAAGACCAGCUGAACACCAGCCUUGGACAGUUGUGUGAAUGAAAAACAAAUUUUGAGAUUUGUGUGGUUUAUGUAUUAGUUACUAUUAUUAUUAAAGUUUUUCACUGCUUUACUCUCAGUUGUUGGUACUAAUGAUUGCAGUGGCAUGUGACACACUGAUCUCUAGGGACCGUUGGAAGUAUGAAUCAAUGUGCUCCUAUAGUAGGAAGAGAAUCAAUUGAUUUGCACUUAAGGUUGGGGAUCUGGAAAAAGGUAGGUGGCAUAUAUUAGAAUUAGAUCAAAAGUUUCUAAUCUUUUCCUUACGUGAUAUACAGG